GCCAGGUAUGGUGACACAUGCCUGUAAUCCCAGCAGCUCUGGAGGCUGAGGCAGGAGGAUUGCAAGCUCAAAGCCAGCCUCAGCAAAAGCAAGGUGCUAAGCAGCUCAGUGAGACCCUGUCUCUA
This 125-nucleotide small RNA is filed under the name Marmota monax (woodchuck). Lineage: Eukaryota; Metazoa; Chordata; Mammalia; Rodentia; Sciuridae. The record is from RNAcentral.